CACGUAGGGGGCAAGCGUUGUCCGGAUUCAUUGGGCGUAAAGAGCUCGUAGGCGGUUCGAUAAGUCGGGUGUGAAACCUCCAGGCUCAACCUGGAGACGCCACCCGAUACUGCUGUGGCUAGAGUCCAGUAGGGGAGCGUGGAAUUCCUGGUGUAGCGGUGAAAUGCGCAGAUAUCAGGAGGAACACCAGCGGCGAAGGCGGCGCUCUGGGCUGGAACUGACGCUGAGGAGCGAAAGCGUGGGGAGCGAACAGG
RNAcentral lists this ribosomal RNA (254 nucleotides) under uncultured bacterium. Its description in RNAcentral is "partial 16S ribosomal RNA". It matches the Rfam family "Bacterial small subunit ribosomal RNA", at positions 524 to 776 of the family's 1533-position model. The record is from RNAcentral.